AGAUUAAGUUAUUAAGGGCGCACGGUGGAUGCCUUGGCACUAGAAGCCGAUGAAGGACGUUACUAACGACGAUAUGCUUUGGGUAGCUGUAAGUAAGCGUUGAUCCAGAGAUUUCCGAAUGGGGGAACCCAGCAUGAGUUAUGUCAUGUUAUCGACAUGUGAAUUCAUAGCAUGUCAGAAGGCAGACCCGGAGAACUGAAACAUCUUAGUACCCGGAGGAAGAGAAAGAAAAAUCGAUUCCCUGAGUAGCGGCGAGCGAAACGGGAAGAGCCCAAACCAACAAGCUUGCUUGUUGGGGUUGUAGGACACUCUAUACGGAGUUACAAAAGAACAUGUUAGACGAAUCAUCUGGAAAGAUGAAUCAAAGAAGGUAAUAAUCCUGUAGUCGAAAACAUAUUCUCUCUUGAGUGGAUCCUGAGUACGACGGAGCACGUGAAAUUCCGUCGGAAUCUGGGAGGACCAUCUCCUAAGGCUAAAUACUCUCUAGUGACCGAUAGUGAACCAGUACCGUGAGGGAAAGGUGAAAAGUACCCCGGAAGGGGAGUGAAAGAGAACUUGAAACCGUGUGCUUACAAGUAGUCAGAGCCCGUUAAUGGGUGAUGGCGUGCCUUUUGUAGAAUGAACCGGCGAGUUACGAUCUGAUGCAAGGUUAAGCAGCAAAUGUGGAGCCGCAGCGAAAGCGAGUCUGAAUAGGGCGUUGAGUAUUUGGUCGUAGACCCGAAACCAGGUGAUCUACCCUUGGUCAGGUUGAAGUUCAGGUAACACUGAAUGGAGGACCGAACCGACUUACGUUGAAAAGUGAGCGGAUGAACUGAGGGUAGCGGAGAAAUUCCAAUCGAACUUGGAGAUAGCUGGUUCUCUCCGAAAUAGCUUUAGGGCUAGCCUCAAGUGAUGAUUAUUGGAGGUAGAGCACUGUUUGGACGAGGGGCCCCUCUCGGGUUACCGAAUUCAGACAAACUCCGAAUGCCAAUUAAUUUAACUUGGGAGUCAGAACAUGGGUGAUAAGGUCCGUGUUCGAAAGGGAAACAGCCCAGACCACCAGCUAAGG
This 1048-nucleotide ribosomal RNA is filed under the name Staphylococcus sp. HMSC064E11. RNAcentral's name for it is "bacterial LSU rRNA". It matches the Rfam family "Bacterial large subunit ribosomal RNA", at positions 1 to 1044 of the family's 2925-position model. The record is from RNAcentral. Lineage: Bacteria; Bacillati; Bacillota; Bacilli; Caryophanales; Staphylococcaceae.